UACGUAGGGUGCAAGCGUUAAUCGGAAUUACUGGGCGUAAAGCGUGCGCAGGCGGUUCUAUAAGACAGAUGUGAAAUCCCCGGGCUCAACCUGGGAACUGCAUUUGUGACUGUAGAGCUGGAGUGCGGCAGAGGGGGAUGGAAUUCCGCGUGUAGCAGUGAAAUGCGUAGAUAUGCGGAGGAACACCGAUGGCGAAGGCAAUCCCCUGGGCCUGCACUGACGCUCAUGCACGGAAGCGUGGGGAGCAAACAGG
RNAcentral lists this ribosomal RNA (253 nucleotides) under uncultured bacterium. Its description in RNAcentral is "partial 16S ribosomal RNA". It matches the Rfam family "Bacterial small subunit ribosomal RNA", at positions 524 to 776 of the family's 1533-position model. The record is from RNAcentral.